Molecule: non-coding RNA, 29 nt
Filed under: Mus musculus (house mouse)
Lineage: Eukaryota; Metazoa; Chordata; Mammalia; Rodentia; Muridae
Source: RNAcentral
UGCCCUUUCUGCAAUCAGACCUGGUUUCC